Molecule: ribosomal RNA, 2167 nt
Filed under: Salmonella enterica
Lineage: Bacteria; Pseudomonadati; Pseudomonadota; Gammaproteobacteria; Enterobacterales; Enterobacteriaceae
Description: partial 23S ribosomal RNA
Rfam family: Bacterial large subunit ribosomal RNA
Source: RNAcentral
GAAUAGGGGAGCCGGAGGGAAACCGAGUCUUAACCGGGCGUUAAGUUGCAGGGUAUAGACCCGAAACCCGGUGAUCUAGCCAUGGGCAGGUUGAAGGUUGGGUAACACUAACUGGAGGACCGAACCGACUAAUGUUGAAAAAUUAGCGGAUGACCUGUGGCUGGGGGUGAAAGGCCAAUCAAACCGGGAGAUAGCUGGUUCUCCCCGAAAGCUAUUUAGGUAGCGCCUCGUGAAUUCAUCUCCGGGGGUAGAGCACUGUUUCGGCUAGGGGGCCAUCCCGGCUUACCAACCCGAUGCAAACUGCGAAUACCGGAGAAUGUUAUCACGGGAGACACACGGCGGGUGCUAACGUCCGUCGUGAAGAGGGAAACAACCCAGACCGCCAGCUAAGGUCCCAAAGUCAUGGUUAAGUGGGAAACGAUGUGGGAAGGCCCAGACAGCCAGGAUGUUGGCUUAGAAGCAGCCAUCAUUUAAAGAAAGCGUAAUAGCUCACUGGUCGAGUCGGCCUGCGCGGAAGAUGUAACGGGGCUAAACCAUGCACCGAAGCUGCGGCAGCGACGCUUAUGCGUUGUUGGGUAGGGGAGCGUUCUGUAAGCCUGUGAAGGUGUGUCGUGAGGCAUGCUGGAGGUAUCAGAAGUGCGAAUGCUGACAUAAGUAACGAUAAAGCGGGUGAAAAGCCCGCUCGCCGGAAGACCAAGGGUUCCUGUCCAACGUUAAUCGGGGCAGGGUGAGUCGACCCCUAAGGCGAGGCCGAAAGGCGUAGUCGAUGGGAAACGGGUUAAUAUUCCCGUACUUGGUGUUACUGCGAAGGGGGGACGGAGAAGGCUAUGUUGGCCGGGCGACGGUUGUCCCGGUUUAAGCGUGUAGGUGUGUGUUCCAGGUAAAUCCGGUUCACUUUAACACUGAGGCGUGAUGACGAGGCACUACGGUGCUGAAGUAACAAAUGCCCUGCUUCCAGGAAAAGCCUCUAAGCAUCAGGUAACAUCAAAUCGUACCCCAAACCGACACAGGUGGUCAGGUAGAGAAUACCAAGGCGCUUGAGAGAACUCGGGUGAAGGAACUAGGCAAAAUGGUGCCGUAACUUCGGGAGAAGGCACGCUGACACGUAGGUGAAGUGAUUUACUCAUGGAGCUGAAGUCAGUCGAAGAUACCAGCUGGCUGCAACUGUUUAUUAAAAACACAGCACUGUGCAAACACGAAAGUGGACGUAUACGGUGUGACGCCUGCCCGGUGCCGGAAGGUUAAUUGAUGGGGUCAGCGCAAGCGAAGCUCCUGAUCGAAGCCCCGGUAAACGGCGGCCGUAACUAUAACGGUCCUAAGGUAGCGAAAUUCCUUGUCGGGUAAGUUCCGACCUGCACGAAUGGCGUAAUGAUGGCCAGGCUGUCUCCACCCGAGACUCAGUGAAAUUGAACUCGCUGUGAAGAUGCAGUGUACCCGCGGCAAGACGGAAAGACCCCGUGAACCUUUACUAUAGCUUGACACUGAACAUUGAGCCUUGAUGUGUAGGAUAGGUGGGAGGCUUUGAAGUGUGGACGCCAGUCUGCAUGGAGCCGACCUUGAAAUACCACCCUUUAAUGUUUGAUGUUCUAACGUGGACCCGUUACCCGGGUUGCGGACAGUGUCUGGUGGGUAGUUUGACUGGGGCGGUCUCCUCCUAAAGAGUAACGGAGGAGCACGAAGGUUGGCUAAUCCUGGUCGGACAUCAGGAGGUUAGUGCAAUGGCAUAAGCCAGCUUGACUGCGAGCGUGACGGCGCGAGCAGGUGCGAAAGCAGGUCAUAGUGAUCCGGUGGUUCUGAAUGGAAGGGCCAUCGCUCAACGGAUAAAAGGUACUCCGGGGAUAACAGGCUGAUACCGCCCAAGAGUUCAUAUCGACGGCGGUGUUUGGCACCUCGAUGUCGGCUCAUCACAUCCUGGGGCUGAAGUAGGUCCCAAGGGUAUGGCUGUUCGCCAUUUAAAGUGGUACGCGAGCUGGGUUUAGAACGUCGUGAGACAGUUCGGUCCCUAUCUGCCGUGGGCGCUGGAGAACUGAGGGGGGCUGCUCCUAGUACGAGAGGACCGGAGUGGACGCAUCACUGGUGUUCGGGUUGUCAUGCCAAUGGCACUGCCCGGUAGCUAAAUGCGGAAGAGAUAAGUGCUGAAAGCAUCUAAGCACGAAACUUGCCCCGA